Molecule: ribosomal RNA, 425 nt
Filed under: uncultured bacterium
Lineage: Bacteria
Description: partial 16S ribosomal RNA
Rfam family: Bacterial small subunit ribosomal RNA
Source: RNAcentral
GUGAGGAAUUUUGCGCAAUGGGGGCAACCCUGACGCAGCGACGCCGCGUGGAGGACGAAGUCUUUCGGGAUGUAAACUCCUGUCAGUGGGGACGAUAAUGACGGUACCCACAGAGGAAGCACCGGCUAACUCCGUGCCAGCAGCCGCGGUAAGACGGAGGGUGCAAGCGUUGUUCGGAAUUACUGGGCGUAAAGCGUACGUAGGCGGCAAGUUAAGUUCAAUGUUAAAGCCCACGGCUCAACCGAGGAGAUGCAUUGAAUACUGGCUAGCUAGAGGGUGUUAGAGGAAGACGGAAUUCCCAGUGUAGCGGUGAAAUGCGUAGAUAUUGGGAGGAACAUCGGUAGCGAAAGCGGUCUUCUGGGACACACCUGACGCUGAGGUACGAAAGCGUGGGGAGCAAACGGGAUUAGAUACCCCAGUAGUCC